Molecule: non-coding RNA, 92 nt
Organism: Hypoxylon fuscum
Lineage: Eukaryota; Fungi; Ascomycota; Sordariomycetes; Xylariales; Hypoxylaceae
Source: the annotation of a GenBank genome assembly
GCCCGACUAACUCAUCGGUGAGCGCCUCUAAUUAGCAAUUCUGAAAUCAAAUUCAAACAAGGAGGCAACAGGUUCGAUUCCUGUGUUGGGCA